AACUUGCUUGUUCUUCGGAAAUAGGGUCUUGGAUGAUCUCGAAGAAGUAUCAGUAGUUCUCGGAAUAGGUUGUAGGAUGAUUCUCUUUUUAUUUUAAUAUCACAUACAUUGGAGUACACGCCAAACUUCAACAAUGAGUAAAGUUAGAAAAAUUCAAAUUUAAAUCAAGGAUUUCUUCCUCAAAAUAACGUUAAAAUCUCAAAAGAUGGAUGAAAAAUGUGCUUUAGGAGCUGAACUAUAAUAAUUGAUACUUUUGGAAGCAAACAAAACGGUUUAAGAUAAGAUUUUCACCAACAAAAAUCUCUGUCACAAUUUCUAGGUUAUGUUCUCUCGGUGAACUAAGAGAAUGUUAAAAUUAUCACAAUAUCUUUGGUAAAAGACUAGUUAUUGGUUGCAAAUGAGAUAUUCCUUGUAGGAAACAAGUUACUGCUGGCAAAAGACUAGCUACUGAUUAUGAACAAGUAUAUUGCUUGCAAAAGGUUAGAUAUUGCUUGGGAAAGACUAGAUACUGCUUGCAGUAGAUUAAAUAUCACUUGCAGAAGACUAGUUAGUGCUUGCAAAGAUGUAGGUACUACUGGCAGAAGACUAGAUACUGAUUAUAAAGUAAUAUAUUGUUUGCAGAUGAUUAGAUAUUGCUUAAUUAAUGAAGAAUUUUUUUUUCGUUUUAAAAUAAUUUUGUUUUUUGCUUUAUUUUUGAUUAAUCCAGUAUUAAUAGAUCCUGUAACAUAAUUAGUAUCCCAAUUAGUUUCAGUUAAUUAACAGUUUAGAUCAAAUGCUAUAAACGGUAUAGAUAACGUCAUCAUCUAUCUAUCGAAAUCCAAUACAACGACGACAUGUUUCCCAUCGAUUGUCAAUUUGUUAAACUAAAUCGAGCAGGAAUAAUGCGCCAUAAGUGGAAGAUAACGAGCCGUUCCUGUUGCAAGUACCUGACACGGUUCAUAAAAUACUUCCCCAUCAAUCAAUUCUAUUCUUUUUCGCGGAUAUCGAGUGAAUUUUUGUCUUUUGUGUCGAAAACGUGCGUUAUGAUUUUGAAAUUUUUUUUUUUUGGUAAAACGAUCAAUUAAAAAUGGAAUAUGAUAGUUAUAAUUGAAAUGGGUGUGUCGGUAAUGUAUUCGAUGUUAUAACAAAAGGGAAUUUGCCAAAAUAAACGUUCCAAUUAUGAAACGUUCACCGCAAUAAAGUCGAGUCGAAAAUAAUUAUCCACUCCACGGUAGUUGGAAAAAUUAAUAUUUAACGGUGCAUUUCCCUGUGAUGCUGUAACCGUUUUUCCAACUGGGGAACGGGUGCGACGAAAAUUAGAACAAAAACGAGCUCGGGGAAUGAAAAAAACUCUCAAAUUAUGGAAUUUAUGUGUGACCACUGCAUCCGAGGUAUUUUCCCUCGAAACUUAUACGAAUAAUAUUAAAAAAAAAUUUAACUCGAUUAUAUUUAUAUACUUACAUUUUAAGGUAUACAAUAUACAACAUCGUUUAAAGAACGUUUUCCGAAAUGCUAACGUUCCACUCAGUUGCGACAUACAAUAGAGUCAGGGAAAAGUUUAUGGGUGACAAGUGGUACUCGAAGGGUUUGACUCGAUCUCGCAGAUACGAUCGGAAAUAGAAAUCCAAUGGGGCACUUUUUCUGCAAUAUAAAGGGUCACUGUCGAAACGCCCCGAGCAAAUCUCCGAUAUAACGGUUAUUGAAUGGCGACGGAUUCUACGAGAACACGUUCCACCUGGAUUAUGAAUAGAUUGGGACCAGGAUUUUACGAUGUGCACGAGAGAAUUUACUUCUUUUUUUUUUUUUUUGUUAAUAACCGCUUUGCAAAGUUCAUUUUUAAUUAGAUGCCUUCUCUCGGAAAUUCCAAACUACAUUUUUCGAGAAUUAAUUUAAAAGGGGUUUGACUCGCUCAACUGAACCGAGUAUCCAAGGGAAAAGGAAACCGUACAAGUCGUUUCCGGAGGAAACGUCUCCGUCUGCAAAUUGCAGUUAAACAAUUUCGAACCGAGAUUGCAGAAACGGAGGAAAAACUGCGACGUUGAAGAUAUGAUAAUUUUAGUGGGGACGAAAAGUUUCAAAUUUAUUACACCCGGAUAGCUCAAUUUCAUUUCAAAAUUUUUUAUCGAGUUAAAAAAUAAAUUUUCAGCUUUUUUUGUGAUUUGAAAUAAUAAGAUUUUAUUUGAAACUCACCAACAAGGAACCAAAGAAGGGAUGAGAUCAAAUGUAAUUCCGUGGUAGCCACACCUCUCCGUCCAAUCUUGAGUUCAUUCAUGGAUCAGACUAAAUACUGUUUCUAGAAGACUAAAUACUGCUGGCAGAAGAUUUGACACUGUUUGCUGAAGAAGGUUAGAUAUUGCUUGGAGAAGAUUAGAUACUACUUGCAGUAUACUAAAUACUUAGAUAAAGGUAGGAGAAGACUAGUUAUUACUUACAAAAGACUAGAUAUCGCUUGCAAAGAUGUAGAUACUGCUAACAGAAGACUAGAUUCUGCUUCUAAACUAGUAUAUUGCUUGCAGUAGACAAAUUACUUAGACACUGCUAAUGGAAGACUAGUUACUACUUGCAGAAGACUAGAUAUUUCUUGUAGAAGAAUAGAUAUUGCAUGCAGAAAACUACUAUUUGCAUCGGAAUAGGUACUGAAAAUAUUGAAUUAAAGUACUUUUCAUUUACAAAAUUGUUUCUAGCUGUGGCAUAAGCCAUAAUUAAAGCUAAAUAUAUCUCUAAAUUUCAUUAAUAUUGUUAUUUAAAUCAUUUUAAUUGAAAUUUAAAAUAAAUUUGUUGUUAAGUGAUUUGAAAUGAUGAGAUUUUUUCGAUUUCGUUUGAA
Onthophagus taurus is the source of this 2803-nucleotide non-coding RNA. The record is from RefSeq and is a predicted model, not a curated record. Lineage: Eukaryota; Metazoa; Arthropoda; Insecta; Coleoptera; Scarabaeidae.